GACGAACGCUGGCGGCGUGCUUAAUACAUGCAAGUCGAACGGAAAGGCCCUGCUUUUGUGGGGUGCUCGAGUGGCGAACGGGUGAGUAACACGUGAGUAACCUGCCCUUGACUUUGGGAUAACUUCAGGAAACUGGGGCUAAUACCGGAUAGGAGCUCCUGCUGCAUGGUGGGGGUUGGAAAGUUUCGGCGGUUGGGGAUGGACUCGCGGCUUAUCAGCUUGUUGGUGGGGUAGUGGCUCACCAAGGCUUUGACGGGUAGCCGGCCUGAGAGGGUGACCGGCCACAUUGGGACUGAGAUACGGCCCAGACUCCUACGGGAGGCAGCAGUGGGGAAUAUUGCACAAUGGGCGGAAGCCUGAUGCAGCAACGCCGCGUGCGGGAUGACGGCCUUCGGGUUGUAAACCGCUUUCGCCUGUGACGAAGCGUGAGUGACGGUAAUGGGUAAAGAAGCACCGGCUAACUACGUG
Molecule: ribosomal RNA, 468 nt
Filed under: uncultured bacterium
Lineage: Bacteria
Description: partial 16S ribosomal RNA
Rfam family: Bacterial small subunit ribosomal RNA
Source: RNAcentral